UACGAGGGGGGCGAGCGUUGUUCGGAAUUAUUGGGCGUAAAGAGCUCGUAGGCGGUUUGUUGCGUCGGCUGUGAAAUCCCGAGGCUCAACCUCGGGUCUGCAGUCGAUACGAGCAAACUAGAGUGUUGCAGGGGAGACUGGAAUUCCUGGUGUAGCGGUGAAAUGCGCAGAUAUCAGGAGGAACACCGGUGGCGAAGGCGGCAUCCUGGACCGGCAUUGACGCUGAGGAGCGAGAGCCAGGGGAGCAAACGGG
This 253-nucleotide ribosomal RNA is filed under the name uncultured bacterium. RNAcentral's name for it is "partial 16S ribosomal RNA". It matches the Rfam family "Bacterial small subunit ribosomal RNA", at positions 524 to 776 of the family's 1533-position model. The record is from RNAcentral.